UACAGAGGUCUCGGGCGUUGUUCGGAUUCAUUGGGCGUAAAGGGUGCGUAGGUGGCGCUGUAAGUCGGGUGUGAAAUCCUGGGGCUUAACCUCGGAACUGCAUUCGAUACUGCGGCGCUUGAGGACUGGAGAGGAGACUGGAAUUCAUGGUGUAGCAGUGAAAUGCGUAGAGAUCAUGAGGAAGACCAGUGGCGAAGGCGGGUCUCUGGACAGUUCCUGACACUGAGGCACGAAGGCCAGGGGAGCAAACGGG
RNAcentral lists this ribosomal RNA (253 nucleotides) under uncultured bacterium. RNAcentral describes it as "partial 16S ribosomal RNA". It matches the Rfam family "Bacterial small subunit ribosomal RNA", at positions 524 to 776 of the family's 1533-position model. The record is from RNAcentral.